GCCCGGUUAGUCAAGCGGCAAAGACACUGCCCUUUCAAGGCAGUAACGAAAGUUCAACUCUUUCACCGGGCG
This 72-nucleotide transfer RNA is filed under the name butyrate-producing bacterium. Its description in RNAcentral is "tRNA-Glu". It matches the Rfam family "tRNA". Rfam says of the family: Transfer RNA (tRNA) molecules are approximately 80 nucleotides in length. The record is from RNAcentral.